UGGGGAAUAUUGCACAAUGGGGGAAACCCUGAUGCAGCGACGCCGCGUGAGUGAAGAAGUAUUUCGGUAUGUAAAGCUCUAUCAGCAAGGAAGAAAAUGACGGUACUUGACUAAGAAGCCCCGGCUAACUACGUGCCAGCAGCCGCGGUAAUACGUAGGGGGCAAGCGUUAUCCGGAUUUACUGGGUGUAAAGGGAGCGUAGACGGUUUAACAAGUCAGAAGUGAAAGCCCAGGGCUUAACCUUGGGACUGCUUUUGAAACUGUCGGACUAGAGUGCAGGAGAGGUAAGCGGAAUUCCUAGUGUAGCGGUGAAAUGCGUAGAUAUUAGGAGGAACACCAGUGGCGAAGGCGGCUUACUGGACUGUAACUGACGUUGAGGCUCGAAAGCGUGGGGAGCAAACAGG
Molecule: ribosomal RNA, 404 nt
Filed under: uncultured bacterium
Lineage: Bacteria
Description: bacterial SSU rRNA
Rfam family: Bacterial small subunit ribosomal RNA
Source: RNAcentral